UAGUUAAAUAUUGUGUGAUAGUCGGUAUGUGAGUACAUUUGUUUCGUAGAUUAUGUGUCCUUCUUUCUGUGAUUCCGAGGACGGAAUCCGUUUAAGGAGGGUAGAUUGUAAUGACUCGGAUUUUUUUUUAAAAUCUAUUUAUUAUUAUAAAAGUGAUUUUCUUCAAGGAAGGGAAUAAGAUUUAAUAUUUUAUUCCAGUUUAAUUAAAUCAAAAUUUUAUAUUUUAAACUCCGAGUUAUUGUGUUGUUGGUAUAUAAUUGUUUCCAAAAAAAAAAAAAAAAUGAGUUUCAUAUAUUAUUUUGAAAAAUUCUAAAUGAUUAUUAUGUGAUUAUAUUCUCGAGAGUCGGUGUAUUUUAUUUCUAUUGGAUUGUUGAGUUGUGUUAUCGAUUUGCAUUUGUUAUGGAUUUUAUACUGAUUUAAUUAUAUAAAAUAGUGUAUUGCAUAUAAAAUCAUUUUUAUCGCUUUAUAAUUCUAUUAAAUAUUUUUAGAGGUAUAUAGAAUUCAUAAAACGAUAUUUUGAUAAUUCUCCAGCUCUAAAUAAUUUUCCGUAUAGAUUAAAGUGGGGUCUUUCUAUUUAUUUCAAAAAUGAUUCAAAAAUCAUGAAAAUCAUAUUUUAUUAGUUUUUAAUUAUUUUAAGAUUUUAAAAAUUAUUUUGGUAUUUAUCUGGAUUAUUUUAUCUGCGAGUUGUUCGUUAAUUUGUUAAAUUCGGUUCGGUACCAGGCCAGCCAGCAGAGGGACACGUAUCCUUUACUCCGAUACGUGUCAUCACAGGAUGAAUCAGUUUAUAUAAACUGAAUUAUUUUGUUUUUCUUUUAAAUCUCUCUGCUCUCUCCCUUUCUCACUGUUUCUCUCAUUUUUCUCUCUCUCGACCACUCUCUCCCCAGGUUCCCUCUCUCGCUCAUCUCCCACUCUCAUCUCUCUUUCUCUCUAAUCUCUCUCACCCUCACACACCUCUCGCCUGAAUCUCCCUCCACUGGCCAAGUCUCUCUCUCGCCGUCUCUCUCCGCGCGGCUCUUACUCCGGCGAACCACCACUUCCUCAGCCGUUCUUCACCUCUCCCUGGGUCUCUCUCGCCGCCGUCAGCCACCAGACUCGGCAUCUCUCUCUUGCUCUGGAUCGAGCAUUGAAGGCGUGAUACCAAGCAAAGGCAAGAAAAGGGGAGAGUUGUAUAGCGGUUCUGUAGUUACGGAUUGUUCGAGACGAGUAGAACCAGACGUUGGGGAUCAAGACUGAAGUUAGAUAAGAUUUCGUAUCAAGCUGCAGCAACCGCAUGAGCGCCAUAACAGAAAAUCAGGAAUAGUUGAGGGUGAUGUCUUGAGAAAGCAGAAUAAGAUAAGAAUGUUAGCUAAGAGUGUAUAAGCUAAGGACCAAAGGCAAGUAUUCACAUUCCUCUCUUGUAUAUUUGAAAGUGCAAGUAUCCCUAUCUUCACUUAUUGUUCAAGUGAAAUUUUCUUCAAAUCCUAUUAUGCAAGUAUCUUGAAACCUUCUUUUAGAUAUAUUGCAAGUACUCUGGAACUUCCUUGAUAUAUUGCAAGUACCCCUGACAAUACUCUUGCUGGUUCAGAUUACAUAUAUGGAUAAUGUAGAGCAAGAAUGCAUGUCUUUGUCAAAUGAUUCAGAUACUAAAUGUUUUAAGUACGUAUUCCCCUGUUUCUAUGGAUUUAAUAUCUUUUAAAUUGUUUUAGGGGAAUAGUAACUUGUGAAUAUCUAUCCCGGAUGAGAUUCAAAUUCUGAAAAUGUUUACUGAUUAUCAUUGCUAAACCUGUGAUAUAAUACUUUGAGACAUGGUAUUGAUUCAUGAAUACCAUGUAAUGAUUUUGAGAAUGGGAUGGAUACAAAUCAAAUUGGAAACUGGAAAUGGAUCAGAUAUUCUUUUGGAGCUGCGUAAGAGGUCCGUUAUUCGGUAACGGCCCAGCAUGGUGGCGUAAGAGGCUAGUGUGGUUGUGUACACUGUGAAACCACCUAGUCCAGCGUCUAAAGACCUAGCUAGUCUUUAGGUUCCGGAACAUUAUUUCGUGAUGGCCGACUAGAGCCGUCCGGUGUUGAUAGACUGAUCAGCUAUCUUCACCUGUUAGCGUCCAAUAUAUCUGAUAUUCGUUUUAAGAUAAAAACCUGUUAUGGCAUGCUAGUGAUGAAAUUUUGAAACUAAAACUUAUGAUUAUCACAUUUUUGAGCAUGCUAAUAAAAGUUGAUUUCCAGUUUUCUUAUAUCAAUGAUGGUUACUGCUUUAUACUCAAAGCAUGCAUGAUUGCUAUGCUCUUGCUCUUAUAAACUGUUUUACGAUCAUAUAUCUUGUUUAUUCAUAUUGGUACUGCUGAGCAUUUGAUAACUUACCCUUGCAAACUACCUUCAUACAACUAUUUUACUACAAGAACUUGCUGAGCAUCUGAAGUUUGAAAUUUUGUCAUAAUUAUUAUAGACCUAAUUUGUCUAUAUAUUAUUGUUGGUUUUAGUUAAAUAUUGUGUGAUAGUCGGUAUGUGAGUACAUUUGUUUCGUAGAUUAUGUGUCCUUCUUUCUGUGAUUCCGAGGACGGAAUCCGUUUAAGGAGGGUAGAUUGUAAUGACUCGGAUUUUUUUUAAAAUCUAUUUAUUAUUAUAAAAGUGAUUUUCUUCAAGGAAGGGAAUAAGAUUUAAUAUUUUAUUCCAGUUUAAUUAAAUCAAAAUUUUAUAUUUUAAACUCCGAGUUAUUGUGUUGUUGGUAUAUAAUUGUUUCCUCAAAAAAAAAUGAGUUUCAUAUAUUAUUUUGAAAAAUUCUAAAUGAUUAUUAUGUGAUUAUAUUCUCGAGAGUCGGUGUAUUUUAUUUCUAUUGGAUUGUUGAGUUGUGUUAUCGAUUUGCAUUUGUUAUGGAUUUUAUACUGAUUUAAUUAUAUAAAAUAGUGUAUUGCAUAUAAAAUCAUUUUUAUCGCUUUAUAAUUCUAUUAAAUAUUUUUAGAGGUUUAUAGAAUUCAUAAAACGAUAUUUUGAUAAUUCUUCAGCUCUAAAUAAUUUUCCGUAUAGAUUAAAGUGGGGUCUUUCUAUUUAUUUCAAAAAUGAUUCAAAAAUCAUGAAAAUCAUAUUUUAUUAGUUUUUAAUUAUUUUAAGAUUUUAAAAAUUAUUUUGGUAUUUAUCUGGAUUAUUUUAUCUGCGAGUUGUUCGUUAAUUUGUUAAAUUCGGUUCGGUACCAGGCCAGCCAGCAGAGGGACACGUAUCCUUUACUCCGAUACGUGUCAUCACAGGACGAAUCAGUUUAUAUAAACUGAAUUAUUUUGUUUUUCUUUUAAAUCUCUCUGCUCUCUCCCUUUCUCACUGUUUCUCUCAUUUUUCUCUCUCUCGACCACUCUCUCCCCAGGUUCCCUCUCUCGCUCAUCUCCCACUCUCAUCUCUCUUUCUCUCUAAUCUCUCUCACCCUCACACACCUCUCGCCUGAAUCUCCCUCCACUGGCCAAGUCUCUCUCUCGCCGUCUCUCUCCGCGCGGCUCUUACUCCGGCGAACCACCACUUCCUCAGCCGUUCUUCACCUCUCCCUGGGUCUCUCUCGCCGCCGUCAGCCACCAGACUCGGCAUCUCUCUCUUGCUCUGGAUCGAGCAUUGAAGGCGUGAUACCAAGCAAAGGCAAGAAAAGGGGAGAGUUGUAUAGCGGUUCUGUAGUUACGGAUUGUUCGAGACGAGUAGAACCAGACGUUGGGGAUCAAGACUGAAGUUAGAUAAGAUUUCGUAUCAAGCUGCAGCAACCGCAUGAGCGCCAUAACAGAAAAUCAGGAAUAGUUGAGGGUGAUGUCUUGAGAAAGCAGAAUAAGAUAAGAAUGUUAGCUAAGAGUGUAUAAGCUAAGGACCAAAGCUAAGGCUAGAGAUGGAUUAUCUGAUUAGGCUGCGCAUGAGAGUGAUGCUAAGCGGCAAGGAUUCUAAGUGGUUAAGUUAUACAUCAGAGAUGAGAUCCAGACCCCCGGAUCUGAGGGCUGUCACAGUUGGUAUCAGAGCUACAGGUUUCAAAGUAUUGAAAUUAGAAUGUAGGUUGUGAUAAGAGUGUGUUUAGUGAAACCUCACAUAGAGAUAAGUCAAGGUUCUGGGUUAUAGUCUUUGUUGAUUGAACUGAGAUUGAGGUUAGAGUAAUGAUUCUGAGUAAUCAUUUUGGGAGUUUCCACGUCAAGAACUAAUGAGUUAGGAUCUCAGGAGAAACAUAAUUAGAUACCUUUAGUUUCCAAUCUUCCAAAACUUGAGAGGGAUUUUCUGAGUAACCAGUUCCAGCUAGACUCGUGGAUUAACUUGUCUAGUCUGGAAUGUUCCUUACUAUCUUUGCCACUUCUAGAAUGUUGGGUAGAGGUUAAUUCAUUAUUUUAUAGAGUGAUAAAAGGAGUAUGAGAUUUGAUCGAUCAUUGUGAGAAGCCAAGUGUAUAGUUCCCGAUUUGAGAAUUAUAUAGAAAGAGUGGUAGGCUACUCGAUAUAGUAUUAUGAGUAGGUUAAAAAGCCAACGCUCUACACUGCUGAUUUUACAAAGCUGGAUAUGACUUCUGACAGUACCAAGCUCGACAGGUUUUCGACCUAACGUGGAUAUUGGUGAUGGGAUCUACGAAGGCGAAUAUAAGUUAAUAAUAAUAUUUAUCGUAGAAUCGAAACGAGUUAUCAGAAUCGAUCGAGAAGACAUAUGUGAUAGCCUUGGCAAUACCAUCCUCAUUAUUGAUUCUAUUGAGCAUUUUCACAGUCAGUGAAUUGUUCUAAUAUCUCUUCUAUAGAGACAUUCAUGAAGUCCUUUUGUCAAUAUUUGUAUCUUUGAAAGCAAUCCAAUUUCGACUCCUAAGGUUCGUAUUAAAGAUUCAUUUAUUAAAAGUCAAUCAUUGUUGGUUGAUUUUGAAAUUUUCAUAUUUUCCACUCUAACUGAGAUGAACAACCCUACUAUAGGGGACACAAGGACUAUCUGUCUGUGUGAUAGAGGUUUGAUGGGACGCCAUCACUUGUGUGUGUUGUGAUUACAAGAAGGCUGAUAACCUUUAGUAGUGUCUAAUAUGGGCGCCAACACUAAGUUUGUUGGAUCAUAUUGAUCUCUCAGUCACUCGUUUAUUCAGAUGAAACCAAUUUUGAAAAGAUUUUUGUUCAAUGGCCAAAUUCUCAAAGAUUCAUUCCGAAAAGUUAAUUCUGCAUUUGCGAAAAUUUUUAAGAUUCCUACUACCUUAAAAGUUGAGGGUAUGCCAAGGAUUAGUCAAAAGUGGACAACGAUACGAUAUUAAGAAGCGUGUACGUUUAGUUCUUUUCGCGGAUUCCGAGGGCGGAAUCCUUAUAAGGGGAGUAGAAUGUAAUAUCUGAAGUUUGAAAUUUUGUCAUAAUUAUUAUAGACCUAAUUUGUCUAUAUAUUAUUGUUGGUUUUAGUUAAAUAUUGUGUGAUAGUCGGUAUGUGAGUACAUUUGUUUCGUAGAUUAUGUGUCCUUCUUUCUGUGAUUCCGAGGACGGAAUCCGUUUAAGGAGGGUAGAUUGUAAUGACUCGGAUUUUUUUUUAAAAUCUAUUUAUUAUUAUAAAAGUGAUUUUCUUCAAGGAAGGGAAUAAGAUUUAAUAUUUUAUUCCAGUUUAAUUAAAUCAAAAUUUUAUAUUUUAAACUCCGAGUUAUUGUGUUGUUGGUAUAUAAUUGUUUCCAAAAAAAAAAAAAAAUGAGUUUCAUAUAUUAUUUUGAAAAAUUCUAAAUGAUUAUUAUGUGAUUAUAUUCUCGAGAGUCGGUGUAUUUUAUUUCUAUUGGAUUGUUGAGUUGUGUUAUCGAUUUGCAUUUGUUAUGGAUUUUAUACUGAUUUAAUUAUAUAAAAUAGUGUAUUGCAUAUAAAAUCAUUUUUAUCGCUUUAUAAUUCUAUUAAAUAUUUUUAGAGGUAUAUAGAAUUCAUAAAACGAUAUUUUGAUAAUUCUCCAGCUCUAAAUAAUUUUCCGUAUAGAUUAAAGUGGGGUCUUUCUAUUUAUUUCAAAAAUGAUUCAAAAAUCAUGAAAAUCAUAUUUUAUUAGUUUUUAAUUAUUUUAAGAUUUUAAAAAUUAUUUUGGUAUUUAUCUGGAUUAUUUUAUCUGCGAGUUGUUCGUUAAUUUGUUAAAUUCGGUUCGGUACCAGGCCAGCCAGCAGAGGGACACGUAUCCUUUACUCCGAUACGUGUCAUCACAGGAUGAAUCAGUUUAUAUAAACUGAAUUAUUUUGUUUUUCUUUUAAAUCUCUCUGCUCUCUCCCUUUCUCACUGUUUCUCUCAUUUUUCUCUCUCUCGACCACUCUCUCCCCAGGUUCCCUCUCUCGCUCAUCUCCCACUCUCAUCUCUCUUUCUCUCUAAUCUCUCUCACCCUCACACACCUCUCGCCUGAAUCUCCCUCCACUGGCCAAGUCUCUCUCUCGCCGUCUCUCUCCGCGCGGCUCUUACUCCGGCGAACCACCACUUCCUCAGCCGUUCUUCACCUCUCCCUGGGUCUCUCUCGCUGCCGUCAGCCACCAGACUCGGCAUCUCUCUCUUGCUCUGGAUCGAGCAUUGAAGGCGUGAUACCAAGCAAAGGCAAGAAAAGGGGAGAGUUGUAUAGCGGUUCUGUAGUUACGGAUUGUUCGAGACGAGUAGAACCAGACGUUGGGGAUCAAGACUGAAGUUAGAUAAGAUUUCGUAUCAAGCUGCAGCAACCGCAUGAGCGCCAUAACAGAAAAUCAGGAAUAGUUGAGGGUGAUGUCUUGAGAAAGCAGAAUAAGAUAAGAAUGUUAGCUAAGAGUGUAUAAGCUAAGGACCAAAGCUAAGGCUAGAGAUGGAUUAUCUGAUUAGGCUGCGCAUGAGAGUGAUGCUAAGCGGCAAGGAUUCUAAGUGGUUAAGUUAUACAUCAGAGAUGAGGUUGGUUGAUUCUAAUUUCAAUACUGUAACCUGGAUGCGAUCCUGUUUUAGGGGGUUAAAGUGGUUUCUUUUAAAUCUGUUAUUAAAACUUUCAGGUUUUAAAUUAUUUGGUUUCGGAAAUUCAAGUUUUUAAAAAGUGUUUUGAAAAGGUUUUUGCUGGCAACGUUAGAAUCCAUUUUCGAAAGUGUUUUUAAAAGGUUUUGUUGGUUUUAAAUUGUAUUUUCAUUUACACGUGGCACCAGAUCCAGACCCCCGGAUCUGAGGGCUGUCACAAUCUAAAUGCAAGUUUUUUAUAAGUUCAGUUAGUUGACCACAAGUUUUUUGAGUUCUGUAACCCAACUACCAGGUUGGCCAUGAGUUAGAAUGAUUUUUUAGCAUAGUAAUCCUUUUUAAAUUAUCUUUUUAUCAAUAGUUUUAAUUUAAUAUUAUUUAAGGAUUAGUUUUCUCU
Daucus carota subsp. sativus is the source of this 7252-nucleotide long non-coding RNA. RefSeq lists it as uncharacterized. The record is from RefSeq and is a predicted model, not a curated record. Lineage: Eukaryota; Viridiplantae; Streptophyta; Magnoliopsida; Apiales; Apiaceae. The transcript is spliced from 7 exons.